CAGUCGCCGCGGUAAUACGUAGGGUGCGAGCGUUAAUCGGAAUUACUGGGCGUAAAGCGUGCGCAGGCGGUUUGUUAAGACAGAUGUGAAAUCCCCGGGCUUAACCUGGGAACUGCAUUUGUGACUGGCCGGCUAGAGUAUGGCAGAUGGAGGUGGAAUUCCACGUGUAGCAGUGAAAUGCAUAGAUAUGUGGAGGAACACCGAUGGCGAAGGCAGCCUCCUGGGCCAAUACUGACGCUCAUGCACGAAAGCGUGGGGAGCAAACAGGAUUAGAUACCCCGGUAGUCCCUGUCUCUUAUAC
Molecule: ribosomal RNA, 301 nt
Filed under: uncultured bacterium
Lineage: Bacteria
Description: partial 16S ribosomal RNA
Rfam family: Bacterial small subunit ribosomal RNA
Source: RNAcentral